This 579-nucleotide ribosomal RNA is filed under the name Penicillium kewense. RNAcentral's name for it is "eukaryotic LSU rRNA". It matches the Rfam family "Eukaryotic large subunit ribosomal RNA", at positions 72 to 666 of the family's 3401-position model. The record is from RNAcentral. Lineage: Eukaryota; Fungi; Ascomycota; Eurotiomycetes; Eurotiales; Aspergillaceae.
GGAUUGCCCCAGUAACGGCGAGUGAAGCGGCAAGAGCUCAAAUUUGAAAGCUGGCUCCUUCGGGGUCCGCAUUGUAAUUUGUAGAGGAUGCUUCGGGAGCGGUCCCCAUCUAAGUGCCCUGGAACGGGACGUCAUAGAGGGUGAGAAUCCCGUAUGGGAUGGGGUGUCCGCGCCCGUGUGAAGCUCCUUCGACGAGUCGAGUUGUUUGGGAAUGCAGCUCUAAAUGGGUGGUAAAUUUCAUCUAAAGCUAAAUAUUGGCCGGAGACCGAUAGCGCACAAGUAGAGUGAUCGAAAGAUGAAAAGCACUUUGAAAAGAGAGUUAAAAAGCACGUGAAAUUGUUGAAAGGGAAGCGCUUGCGACCAGACUCGCUCGCGGGGUUCAGCCGGCAUUCGUGCCGGUGUACUUCCCCGCGGGCGGGCCAGCGUCGGUUUGGGCGGUCGGUCAAAGGCCCUCGGAAGGUAACGCCCCUAGGGGCGUCUUAUAGCCGAGGGUGCAAUGCGACCUGCCUAGACCGAGGAACGCGCUUCGGCUCGGACGCUGGCAUAAUGGUCGUAAACGACCCGUCUUGAAACACGGAC